This 253-nucleotide ribosomal RNA is filed under the name uncultured bacterium. RNAcentral's name for it is "partial 16S ribosomal RNA". It matches the Rfam family "Bacterial small subunit ribosomal RNA", at positions 524 to 776 of the family's 1533-position model. The record is from RNAcentral.
UACGGAGGGUGCAAGCGUUAUCCGGAUUCACUGGGUUUAAAGGGUGCGUAGGUGGGCAGGUAAGUCAGUGGUGAAAUCUCCGGGCUUAACCCGGAAACUGCCGUUGAUACUAUCUGUCUUGAAUACCGCGUAGGUAAGCGGAAUAUGUCAUGUAGCGGUGAAAUGCUUAGAUAUGACAUAGAAUACCAAUUGCGAAGGCAGCUGGCUACGCGAAUAUUGACACUCAGGCACGAAAGCGUGGGGAUCAAACAGG